ACUUUUAUAGUUUAAAAAAAACAACAAUCUUGUAAAUUGUAGCUGUAAUAUUCUAAAAGUU
Molecule: transfer RNA, 61 nt
Filed under: Platorchestia japonica
Lineage: Eukaryota; Metazoa; Arthropoda; Malacostraca; Amphipoda; Talitridae
Description: tRNA-Thr
Source: RNAcentral